Molecule: ribosomal RNA, 724 nt
Filed under: uncultured bacterium
Lineage: Bacteria
Description: bacterial SSU rRNA
Rfam family: Bacterial small subunit ribosomal RNA
Source: RNAcentral
UAACGCGUAGGUAACCUGCCUGGUAGCGGGGGAUAACUAUUGGAAACGAUAGCUAAUACCGCAUAAGAGUAGAUAUCGCAUGAUAGCUGCUUGAAAGGUGCAAUUGCACCACUACCAGAUGGACCUGCGUUGUAUUAGCUAGUUGGUGAGGUAACGGCUCACCAAGGCAACGAUACAUAGCCGACCUGAGAGGGUGAUCGGCCACACUGGGACUGAGACACGGCCCAGACUCCUACGGGAGGCAGCAGUAGGGAAUCUUCGGCAAUGGACGGAAGUCUGACCGAGCAACGCCGCGUGAGUGAAGAAGGUUUUCGGAUCGUAAAGCUCUAUUGUAAGAGAAGAACGAGUGUGAGAGUGGAAAGUUCACACUGUGACGGUAGCUUACCAGAAAGGGACGGCUAACUACGUGCCAGCAGCCGCGGUAAUACGUAGGUCCCGAGCGUUGUCCGGAUUUAUUGGGCGUAAAGCGAGCGCAGGCGGUUUGAUAAGUCUGAAGUUAAAGGCUGUGGCUCAACCAUAGUUUGCUUUGGAAACUGUCAAACUUGAGUGCAGAAGGGGAGAGUGGAAUUCCAUGUGUAGCGGUGAAAUGCGUAGAUAUAUGGAGGAACACCGGUGGCGAAAGCGGCUCUCUGGUCUGUAACUGACGCUGAGGCUCGAAAGCGUGGGGAGCGAACAGGAUUAGAUACCCUGGUAGUCCACGCCGUAAACGAUGAGUGCUAGGUGU